CAGCUGAGUUCAGUUCAAGUGCCAGCCUAGUGGCCUUAUCUAUGGAGAAGUGCUGGGCAUGCCGGGCGUCACUGUUAACGCGAGACGUUCUUUUCGGGCCCACCUCGCAUGGCAGUGGCAAGUGGGCCAAAAGGGGGGCUCUUUAGGCCAAGCGUAAUUGGAGUAGGCAAAUACCAACGCACUUAUCUUGGCCCAAAAGAGCUGCUUCCAUUUGCUUAUGGCGCUGCAAGAGCAAACUCCCAUUGCCCGCAAAUCACAAAGCAAUAUUAUUGACACUUCGGCUUGAAAGGAGCAAACCACUUCCAUUUGUCAUCGGGCCUAUUAAACACUUUUCAUGUUUUCCAAUUUCACAUUUUCUUUGGUAAAAUAAAUAAAUGAUUUUUGUAGAUAUUUUUUCCUAA
This is a long non-coding RNA of Drosophila teissieri, 401 nucleotides long. RefSeq lists it as uncharacterized. Lineage: Eukaryota; Metazoa; Arthropoda; Insecta; Diptera; Drosophilidae. The transcript is spliced from 2 exons. The record is from RefSeq and is a predicted model, not a curated record.